This is a long non-coding RNA of Capsicum annuum, 610 nucleotides long. RefSeq lists it as uncharacterized. The transcript is spliced from 2 exons. NCBI's taxonomy places the organism in Eukaryota, Viridiplantae, Streptophyta, Magnoliopsida, Solanales, Solanaceae. The record is from RefSeq and is a predicted model, not a curated record.
ACCACACUUAUUGGGGCACGGAAUUUUAUGUGUUUUAAUCUUCAUUUUUGGACCAACCUUGGCCAUAUAUAUAAUCUCACCAAAUUCUAACUUUUUCUACUACUUCUAACACAACAACAUUCUUUAACCAUGAAUAGUCUCUUUCAUUUCUUUUUCUUCUUCUUCCUCCUCUUCAUCACUAACUCUCCAAUAAUACCACUUCAUGCCAUGCGUCACCCACAUCCGGUCCAAUUUUCCGGUCCAUAUGCAACGUUUACGACAGAAAAACAACUUAAUCUUCAACCUCAGGCUAGUGCACCCAUAAUUGCUAGAGAUUUUGAGUCCGACAAGAGGAGAGUUCCUACAGGACCAAAUCCUCUUCACAACAAGAAAAGAAAGACUUGAAAAUUACGCGUAUAGCAGAAGCCUAGUAGUACACCGAGCUGUCCUUUUUAUUUCUUGCAUGCUGGGGACUAAUGUAUUUCUCCGUUAGAGGUAGUUUUAUUUUUGAAGCCUAUGCUGAGCUAUAUGUGAUAAUUAAGCUUAUGUAGAUUUUGCGAGAGGAAAGAAUAUGUGGUGUUUAUUAGCAUUCAUACAAUUUGAUAUAAUCAAAAAUAGUUUGAUUUGAUAA